Molecule: unclassified non-coding RNA, 273 nt
Filed under: fungal sp.
Lineage: Eukaryota; Fungi
Description: partial internal transcribed spacer region
Rfam family: Eukaryotic small subunit ribosomal RNA (bases 1-46)
Source: RNAcentral
AAGUCGUAACAAGGUUUCCGUAGGUGAACCUGCGGAAGGAUCAUUAACACGUAUCCAACGUUAAACCCCCCUGUGAACUUUUAUACUUGCUCUCUUAACUGACGGAAUUGCAAUCCCUGGUAAAUCAUUGUUGAACAGAUUUUGAUUCAGGGACCUCAGUUUGGCAGUUAGGAUUGAGCGAUCGUUGCAAGUGGCCCACUACCUGAUUCCGCCUCGUAGGAAACUGCUGGGCAACAAAACGAACAACUGUUAACAAUGGAUAUCUUGGUUCUC